GUGCUUGCUUCGGCAGCACAUAUACUAAAAUUGGAACAAAACAGAGAAGAUUAGCACGGCCCCUGCACAACAAUGACACGCAAAUUCAUGAAGCAUUCCAUAUUUAA
Molecule: small nuclear RNA, 107 nt
Filed under: Castor canadensis (American beaver)
Lineage: Eukaryota; Metazoa; Chordata; Mammalia; Rodentia; Castoridae
Source: RNAcentral